RNAcentral lists this ribosomal RNA (396 nucleotides) under Desulfotomaculum sp. SRB-M. RNAcentral describes it as "partial 16S ribosomal RNA". It matches the Rfam family "Bacterial small subunit ribosomal RNA", at positions 1112 to 1520 of the family's 1533-position model. Lineage: Bacteria; Bacillati; Bacillota; Clostridia; Eubacteriales; Desulfotomaculaceae. The record is from RNAcentral.
UAGUGCCAGCGAKUUAGUCGGGAACUCUAAUGUGACUGCCGUGACAAAACGGAGGAAGGUGGGGAUGACGUCAAAUCAUCAUGCCCCUUAUGUCCUGGGCUACACACGUACUACAAUGGCCGGUACAGACGGAAGCGAAGCCGUGAGGCGGAGCAAAACCGAGAAAGCCGGUCUCAGUUCGGAUUGUAGUCUGCAACUCGACUACAUGAAGUCGGAAUCGCUAGUAAUCGCAGGUCAGCAUACUGCGGUGAAUACGUUCCCGGGCCUUGUACACACCGCCCGUCACACCACGAAAGCUGACAACACCCGAAGCCGGUAGCUACCGCAGGAGGMBGCCGUCRAGGUGGGGUUGGUAUUGGGGUAAGUCGWAMAGGWGCCGWUUCGRAGGUGCGGCUG